GGCUGGUCCGAGUGCAGUGGUGUUUACAACUAAUUGAUCACAACCAGUUACAGAUUUCUUUGUUCCUUCUCCACUCCCACUGCUUCACUUGACUAGCCUAUA
Unclassified non-coding RNA from Cavia porcellus (domestic guinea pig), 102 nucleotides. It matches the Rfam family "Y RNA". Rfam says of the family: Y RNAs are components of the Ro ribonucleoprotein particle (Ro RNP), in association with Ro60 and La proteins. The Y RNAs and Ro60 and La proteins are well conserved, but the function of the Ro RNP is not known. NCBI's taxonomy places the organism in Eukaryota, Metazoa, Chordata, Mammalia, Rodentia, Caviidae. The record is from Ensembl.